GACGAAGGGGGCUAGCGUUGUUCGGAAUUACUGGGCGUAAAGCGUGUGUAGGUGGUUGUCAUAGUCAGGCGUGAAAGCCUUGAGCUCAACUCAAGAAAUGCGCUUGAUACUGGGCAGCUAGAGGACCGGAGAGGAUAGUGGAAUUCCCAGUGUAGUGGUGAAAUACGUAGAGAUUGGGAAGAACACCAGUGGCGAAGGCGGCUAUCUGGACGGUUUCUGACACUAAGACUCGAAAGCGUGGGGAGCAAACAGG
Molecule: ribosomal RNA, 253 nt
Filed under: uncultured bacterium
Lineage: Bacteria
Description: partial 16S ribosomal RNA
Rfam family: Bacterial small subunit ribosomal RNA
Source: RNAcentral